RNAcentral lists this unclassified non-coding RNA (210 nucleotides) under Hevea brasiliensis (rubber tree). Lineage: Eukaryota; Viridiplantae; Streptophyta; Magnoliopsida; Malpighiales; Euphorbiaceae. The record is from RNAcentral.
CCGUGGAUUAGCUUCAAUUGUAGCUAUUGCCCUCGGCUGACCCUUCAUAGAUGGAUUGGCAUGGUCCAAAACAAUGGCUUUUCGUGAUUUAAGCUUCUUCUCAGCUUCUUCUGUCCGCAUUUUAACAUGGUUUGUAAAUGAUUCAUCCAGAACACGUUGCACAUUUAAUUUUCGCCAAGCACCACCUGACUCGACAAGCAAACCAUUUCC